CCACUGAAAUUGCUUUAAGCAAUGACAGUUUUGAAGGUCAAAAUCUCUCUAUUCUGUCUGUAAAUCGCUUUUGGGUGAAGUGGAGGCUUCAACAAACAGCAAGACCUGAAAUAACUUUUGUUCAAAACACAUGGCAGAAUUUUUUAACCCUAAAACUACAUUGAGGACAAAUUUGGGCAAAAAUUAUUUAGUAUUUUAUAAUAAACCAUUAAUAGACUUGUCUACUUUUCCUAAGUUUGCCAACUGAGCACAUAUUAAAUCUAUUCCAAUGUAUUUUUCUAUUCAUCCCGGUAUCACGCGGUAUUCAGACUGACUGGAGUGCUGUGUGGAGAAGUUUACGUUGCAUCGCUGCCGGCGGCUAGUUUGUAUCCUCUGACACUUGCUUCACCUCACAUUUGUUCCUGGUCUUAAUAUUAGUGUAUUUUACUAUAGUUACCUAUCAUUGUCGUUGCCUAAUUUAUUAGAACUUUAUUUUCUAAAUUUUAUUAAUUGAAGCGUAACGCCGCUAGCAUAUUAGCGUGUUAGCUUGCCUUCUGUUUACAUUGUGGAAUAUCAUCUCCCCCUAUUUGUCUUGUGUGCUAACUGUUUCUCUUUUUAAGUGUAUAUACUAAGACUCAUCAAGCUACCUUGGUAAGUUAGGAUUGCACUUCAUACCCGGUUACCGCAGGAUGCAGUUCAUGCCCAGACCUGAUGACAGAGCUGAGAAUGGGAAGCGGUGACCUGAAAAGAGCUAAGAGGAUAGAGCUGGAUAAAGGACGCGACAACUUUGUUUUUCCUACAACAUUUAAAAUGCUAUUAGAUUGUUAAUGAUAAUCUUAAAUCCUUAAUUUUUAUAUUUUAUUAAGCCUUGUUGUGCAGGCACUGUUGAGCUUGUGCAGAGGCAGCAGCUUUUGCCAGAGGGGAACUGGAAUCCCCUGGUUGGGCCUGGGUUCCCCUGAGGUUUUUUUUCUCGAUGGGAGUUUUGGGUUCCUCACCACCGUUUGCAUAUUGUUUUGCACUAUCUGCCUGGCCGGGGGGGCUGCUUUCGAAUUCAUACUUGUAUUCAAUGUGUCUCAUGUACAGCUGCUUUGUAACAAUGAAAAUUGUAAAAAGCGCUAUAUAAAUAAAGUUGAGUUGAGUUGAGAGUA
This is a long non-coding RNA of Triplophysa dalaica, 1127 nucleotides long. RefSeq lists it as uncharacterized. The record is from RefSeq and is a predicted model, not a curated record. NCBI's taxonomy places the organism in Eukaryota, Metazoa, Chordata, Actinopteri, Cypriniformes, Nemacheilidae. The transcript is spliced from 2 exons.